CCUACGGGUGACUGCAGUGGGGAAUAUUGGGCAAUGGGCGCAAGCCUGACCCAGCGACGCCGCGUGAGGGAAGACGGUCUUCGGAUUGUAAACCUCUUUCAGCAGGGAAGACAAAAGGACGGUACCUGCAGAAGAAGCCACGGCUAACUCCGUGCCAGCAGCCGCGGUAAUACGGAGGGUGCGAGCGUUAAUCGGAAUUACUGGGCGUAAAGCGCUCGUAGGCGGUAUGUCAAGUCAAGCGUGAAAUCCCCGCGCUCAACGUGGGAACUGCCUUUGAAACUGGCAAACUGGAGUGAGUGAGAGGAUAGUGGAAUUCCAGGUGUAGGAGUGAAAUGCGUAGAUAUCUGGAGGAACAUCAGUGGCGAAGGCGACUAUCUGGCACAUAACUGACGCUGAGGAGCGAAAGCGUGGGUAGCAAACAGGAUUAGAUACCCGAGUAGUC
This 442-nucleotide ribosomal RNA is filed under the name uncultured bacterium. RNAcentral's name for it is "partial 16S ribosomal RNA". It matches the Rfam family "Bacterial small subunit ribosomal RNA", at positions 338 to 795 of the family's 1533-position model. The record is from RNAcentral.